Mus musculus (house mouse) is the source of this 835-nucleotide long non-coding RNA. RefSeq annotates it as predicted gene, 35018. The transcript has 3 exons. The record is from RefSeq and is a predicted model, not a curated record. NCBI's taxonomy places the organism in Eukaryota, Metazoa, Chordata, Mammalia, Rodentia, Muridae.
CAACAAAAAAAGUUGGCUAUCAAUUUUGAAAUGAGGGCAAUCGUCUUUUAGGUACACAGAAGGGGAUGCGCAGAAUGGGAGGCGCGUACCCAGCGGGAACUGCUCUUUCUGGUUUUCCUUUUAUAUCUCUUGCAAAUCCGACGUUAAGUAAUCGCUCUGCUAGAGUUCAACGCGCCAGGAUGGAUAAUUUCACUACUCGUUUGCUUUGGAAUAUGUGGGCCGAGAUCUGGUUAGAGGAAACGAGUUUGUGUUUCUGAUUCCAUUUGCAUAUUUAUAUCUCCAUGAACAAGUCCAAGGCAAAGAAUACCAUAGACAAUUUAAAUUCAAUUGCAAGUGGAUCAUUUGGAAAUUUCACUGGAAGAUUUUUGAGCACCUGGGAUGCACCAGGCAGGAGGCGAGGCAGAACUUGUUCUGCAGACUCUUGGCUGAGGAGAUGUGUGAUGAUGGAUCAGCUGGGUCAAAUAAGGUAAAUGUCUCCUGUGGAAACAGGAAGCUGGAAGUUCAACCAGGAGAAGCUUGUCUGUGGAAAGCUCAGUUGGGGACUGGAGCCGAGGUUGUGAGUUCCUGAUUCGAUGACACUUUUCCCCCUUUCUGUUGUGACUGCCUAUCAGAGACAAAUCCUGCAGUGAAGAAUUACAAGUCUGCUGCUCCACUCUGUGUGGGCCCCACGGUGCUGGCAGGAGAGAGGGAUGUGGAGAAUGGCGGUGUCAGCUGCUGAAAAGCCUGGCUCCUAAAGGCCAUUUUAAAGAAGAAUCGAUCCCUGUGGGCGUUGUAUGCAAACUCUACAAGCUGUUGCCACUUGAAUAUUAAAUAUUAGUUCUUUUUUAAUACCACA